GACGAACGCUGGCGGCGUGCUUAACACAUGCAAGUCGAACGAUGAAGAAAAGAAUCGAAGCUUCGGCAGAAAUUCAUUUCGGAUUAGUGGCAGACGGGUGAGUAACGCGUGAGCAACCUACCUCUUACAAAGGGAUAGCCUCGGGAAACCGGGAUUAAUACCAUAUAACAUUGCGACGAAGCAUUUCGAUGCAAUCAAAGCUACGGCGGUAAGAGAUGGGCUCGCGUCCCAUUAACCGGAUGGUGAGGUAACGGAUCACCAUAGUGACGAUGGGUAACCGGCGUGAGAGGGUGAACGGUCACACUGGAACUGAGACACGGUCCAGACUCCUACGAGAGGCAGCAGUGGGGAAUAUUGCACAAUGGAGGGAACUCUGAUGCAGCGACGCCGCGUGAGUGAUGAAGGAAUUCGUUUCGUAAAACUCUGUUCUAUGGGAAGAAAAGGACUGUACCAUAGGAGAAAGCGCCGGCUAAAUACGUG
RNAcentral lists this ribosomal RNA (480 nucleotides) under uncultured bacterium. RNAcentral's name for it is "partial 16S ribosomal RNA". It matches the Rfam family "Bacterial small subunit ribosomal RNA", at positions 28 to 507 of the family's 1533-position model. The record is from RNAcentral.